ACCCCCGGUGGUGGGCGGCGGACCCGCCGG
RNAcentral lists this non-coding RNA (30 nucleotides) under Actinoplanes sp. SE50/110. The record is from RNAcentral. Lineage: Bacteria; Bacillati; Actinomycetota; Actinomycetes; Micromonosporales; Micromonosporaceae.